Long non-coding RNA from Lonchura striata (white-rumped munia), 945 nucleotides. RefSeq lists it as uncharacterized. The record is from RefSeq and is a predicted model, not a curated record. NCBI's taxonomy places the organism in Eukaryota, Metazoa, Chordata, Aves, Passeriformes, Estrildidae.
AGAACCAGCGGGGCUCGCUCGGCCUCGCGCCCUCGCUGCUGGGAAGCGCCUCCCGGGCACGGGGGUCCCGGCAGGCCGGCGGCAGGAGGCGCGGCCGGCGGUGGGAAGCGCCGCUGGAAUCGCUGCCGUGCCUCGGGGAUAGCGGAAUCGCCGGCGCUCCCUGGCUGGACCCCGGCAACCCGGGAAACACCUCAAUUUCUUCAAAAAGUCUCAUGACUAUGAAAGAUUAGUUAAUUUCUCUCCUAUGUCCCAAGUUUCAGUCAAUAGCAGCGUCAGGACGUGGUUGUUUCCAUGGUCUCAGCACACAUGGAGCCCUCUGCUGCUGGCAAAUAGCACCUAAGGAACACUGCUCUUCUGCCAGACUGGGGCACUGACCUGUGCUAGAGGGGAACCUUUCUGCUGUGGACAUUUCUGUGCUGAUGUGCUAGAAGAGGGAUACAGGAUUUUUACUAGGAAAUCUAUUUGUGAUGCUCUAGCACACUGUCAAAACUGAAAGACUUUGCAGUGGAUUCUUCAUAUUUGUUCAACAUCCUUGGCUUUUUAUCUUUAUAAAAAAAUACUCUCAAUUCAUUAUGAGGAUUUAACACAGACCUUUUCACCAUUCAUGGAAAUGAGCACUUGAUAUACAAAGUGGGAUAAGAUAAAGGUUUCUAGUUAAAUAUUCUUGGGCUAGAUCUUGUCUAUAUGCUUUUGUGAUAAUGACAAUUAUUUUCCAUUUUCAGCUCCAAAACCAGUUUCUGUAGUUUGAAGAGAAGGUCAUUUUAGUUUCUUUCUGGAACCUUGCUUGUAUGUAUUGGCCCUGGAUUAGUCAGAGGGAUUAGAACACUACUACUGAAACUUCACAAAUGCAACCUAUGUGAAGCCCUUUUUCAGUUGUUUUUUGGAAAUAUUUGCUGAAUUUCUCGUAUUGCUUCUGUCUGUUCAAUAAAAGAAUUGUCUCCAUAA